GCAGCCGCCGCGGUAACACGUAGGGUGCGAGCGUUAAUCGGAAUUACUGGGCGUAAAGCGUGCGCAGGCGGUUAUAUAAGACAGAUGUGAAAUCCCCGGGCUCAACCUGGGACCUGCAUUUGUGACUGUAUAGCUAGAGUACGGUAGAGGGGGAUGGAAUUCCGCGUGUAGCAGUGAAAUGCGUAGAUAUGCGGAGGAACACCGAUGGCGAAGGCAAUCCCCUGGACCUGUACUGACGCUCAUGCACGAAAGCGUGGGGAGCAAACAGGAUUAGAUACCCGUGUAGUCCCUGUCUCUUAUAC
This 302-nucleotide ribosomal RNA is filed under the name uncultured bacterium. RNAcentral describes it as "partial 16S ribosomal RNA". It matches the Rfam family "Bacterial small subunit ribosomal RNA", at positions 508 to 807 of the family's 1533-position model. The record is from RNAcentral.